GCCUCCCAGGUCCCAUUCGGUCCUCUACUCUUUUAUCAAUCCUCCAUUCAAAACUACUCUCCAGAAGCACUUUUUCUUUCGCUCUCUACCCGUUUCUCAAUUAUGAUCUAGGAAAUAUCAGCAAGACCUAACCUUAUUAUUCUUGUUUCUUACAUACGCUGCAUCAUGACCAGUAUUGCUCCAUUGCUCUUUAGGACCCGUACCUUUCUCUUCAAACCCCAAUGUCUGUUUCAUUUUCUUUCUUUUCUUUUCCAUUCUGACACUCUAAGGUAUUACCACUCAUUUCAGUCCCAGAUAACCUUCUUUAUAACCAUCUUCAUUUAUUAGGUCAAAUGUAAAAGAACAACCAGCAGCACCCUAAUUGAUUUCUAGCAACCGGCCACCUCCACAUUUUCUUUUAAAGAAUUGUUGCAAUAGGGCUAAAAAUUUUUGGUUUUCGUGUUGCCGUAUAUAAAUGAGGCCUUGCCACACCUGUAAUAAGGUAUCCUCAAUUCGCGGAAAUUCGACAGUUGACCGGGUCUGCAAAUUUCGGGCCAGACAGACCCGUUACCGGAAAAGUCUCCGAAUUGGACCGAGGUUUUGGCUAGCCCCCCAUUGUCAGACGUCCCGAGCGCGUUACCGAAGUCAGAAUUGGCAAAGGUGAGCCGGGACAGCCUUCUUCCUCCGCCCAGCCGCCUCAGUGAUUGUCGUCAAGUAUGCUACAGGAGGAUUUUAUUUUGGUUAACCUGCUUUUUUCCUUCACAGGUUGUUUAUCGAUAUUUGUGUAAUUUUAUUUACUCCUAGAAUUUCCGCAUGUGUUAGAAGUAUUUAUUUGAUUAUGGUCUGUAAUAUUAUUAUCAUGUUGGACCUGUAAACGUAUAAUGAUAUGCAUGUUUGAUGGAUUGGAUGAGGGAGCUGAGCUCCCAUUUAUUUUUAUGA
Long non-coding RNA from Hevea brasiliensis (rubber tree), 918 nucleotides. RefSeq lists it as uncharacterized. The record is from RefSeq and is a predicted model, not a curated record. NCBI's taxonomy places the organism in Eukaryota, Viridiplantae, Streptophyta, Magnoliopsida, Malpighiales, Euphorbiaceae. The transcript has 4 exons.